UGGGGAAUUUUGGACAAUGGGCGCAAGCCUGAUCCAGCCAUGCCGCGUGCGGGAAGAAGGCCUUCGGGUUGUAAACCGCUUUUGUCAGGGAAGAAACGCUCUGGGCUAAUACCCUGGGGUAAUGACGGUACCUGAAGAAUAAGCACCGGCUAACUACGUGCCAGCAGCCGCGGUAAUACGUAGGGUGCAAGCGUUAAUCGGAAUUACUGGGCGUAAAGCGUGCGCAGGCGGUUAUGCAAGACAGAUGUGAAAUCCCCGGGCUCAACCUGGGAACUGCAUUUGUGACUGUAUAGCGUAGAGUACGGUAGAGGGGGAUGGAAUUCCGCGUGUAGCAGUGAAAUGCGUAGAUAUGCGGAGGAACACCGAUGGCGAAGGCAAUCCCCUGGACCUGUACUGACGCUCAUGCACGAAAGCGUGGGGAGCAAACAGGAUUAGAUACCCCCGUAGUCCCUGAGCGGGCUGGCAAGGCGCAU
Molecule: ribosomal RNA, 473 nt
Filed under: uncultured bacterium
Lineage: Bacteria
Description: bacterial SSU rRNA
Rfam family: Bacterial small subunit ribosomal RNA
Source: RNAcentral